RNAcentral lists this ribosomal RNA (227 nucleotides) under uncultured fungus. Its description in RNAcentral is "partial 18S ribosomal RNA". It matches the Rfam family "Eukaryotic small subunit ribosomal RNA", at positions 40 to 274 of the family's 1831-position model. Lineage: Eukaryota; Fungi. The record is from RNAcentral.
AAGAUUAAGCCAUGCAUGUCUAAGUAUAAGCAAUUAUACCGUGAAACUGCGAAUGGCUCAUUAAAUCAGUUAUCGUUUAUUUGAUAGUACCUUACCACUUGGAUAACCGUGGUAAUUCUAGAGCUAAUACAUGCUAAAACCCCGACUUCGGAAGGGGUGUGUUUAUUAGAUAAAACCAAUGCCCUUCGGGGCUCUUUGGUGAUUCAUGAUAACCUAACGGAUCGCAU